Symphalangus syndactylus (siamang) is the source of this 422-nucleotide long non-coding RNA. RefSeq lists it as uncharacterized. The record is from RefSeq and is a predicted model, not a curated record. NCBI's taxonomy places the organism in Eukaryota, Metazoa, Chordata, Mammalia, Primates, Hylobatidae.
UCCAUUAUCUCUUUGGUGAGAUCAUAUAUGGAGGCCACAUCACAGAUGACUGGGAUCGCAAACUGUGUCGGAUGUAUUUAGAAGAAUUCAUGAAUCCAUCUCUGCUAGCUGCCAUGUCAGGAACACAUGCAUGCAGUGAAAAACCGAGACUUCCAGCCAACAGCCAUGUGAGUGAGCCAUCUUGGAAGUGGAUCCUCCAGCCCCAGUCAAGCCUUCAGAUAACUGCAGCUUUGGCCAACAUCUUGACUGCAACUUCUUGAGAGACCCUGAGCAAGAAUCACACCAUGAAGAUGUUCCUAGUUUUCUGAUUCUCAGAAACUAGACAGGGUUUCAGCAUGUUGGCUAGGCUGGUCUCGAACUCCUGACCUCAAGUGAUCCACCUGCCUCAACCUCCCAAAGUGCUGGGAUUACAGAUGUGAGCC